This is a non-coding RNA of Acanthosepion pharaonis, 110 nucleotides long. Lineage: Eukaryota; Metazoa; Mollusca; Cephalopoda; Sepiida; Sepiidae. The record is from the annotation of a GenBank genome assembly.
CGAUCCCAUCAUGUUGAAACACCGGUUUCCGUAAGAUCACCGAAGUUAAGCAACGUCAAGCUUGAAAUUACCUAGAUAGGUGACCACUUGGGAAUACCAGGUGCUGCAAG